RNAcentral lists this ribosomal RNA (517 nucleotides) under uncultured Pedobacter sp. Its description in RNAcentral is "bacterial SSU rRNA". It matches the Rfam family "Bacterial small subunit ribosomal RNA", at positions 391 to 908 of the family's 1533-position model. The record is from RNAcentral. Lineage: Bacteria; Pseudomonadati; Bacteroidota; Sphingobacteriia; Sphingobacteriales; Sphingobacteriaceae.
GCCAUGCCGCGUGCAGGAAGACGGCCCUCUGGGUUGUAAACUGCUUUUAUUCGGGAAUAAACCUCCUUACGUGUAGGGAGCUGAAUGUACCGAAGGAAUAAGGAUCGGCUAACUCCGUGCCAGCAGCCGCGGUAAUACGGAGGAUCCGAGCGUUAUCCGGAUUUAUUGGGUUUAAAGGGUGCGUAGGCGGCUUAUUAAGUCAGGGGUGAAAGACGGUGGCUCAACCAUCGCAGUGCCCUUGAUACUGAUGAGCUUGAAUACAUUAGAGGUAGGCGGAAUGUGACAAGUAGCGGUGAAAUGCAUAGAUAUGUCACAGAACACCGAUUGCGAAGGCAGCUUACUAUGAUGAGAUUGACGCUGAGGCACGAAAGCGUGGGGAUCAAACAGGAUUAGAUACCCUGGUAGUCCACGCCCUAAACGAUGAAUACUCGCUGUUAGCGAUAUACAGUUAGCGGCUAAGCGAAAGCGUUAAGUAUUCCACCUGGGGAGUACGCCCGCAAGGGUGAAACUCAAAGGA